Molecule: long non-coding RNA, 3046 nt
Organism: Bombyx mori (domestic silkworm)
Lineage: Eukaryota; Metazoa; Arthropoda; Insecta; Lepidoptera; Bombycidae
Exons: 2
Source: RefSeq, a predicted model, not a curated record
UUUAUUUUUUUUAUUGCUUAGAUGGGUGGACGAGCUCACAGCCCACCUGGUGUUAAGUGGUUACUGGAGCCCAUAGACAUCUACAACGUAAAUGCGCCACCCACCUUGAGAUAUAAGUUGUAAGGUCUCAGUAUAGUUACAACGGCUGCCCCACCCUUCGAACCGAAACGCAUUUCUGCAGAAAUAGGCAGGGUGGUGGUAUCUACCCGCGCGGUCUCUCAAGACGCCCUACCACCAGUGUUAACUACACUAGGCUGGUUUCUUCUCGCUUGAUAUUAUGGACCUAUCGGCAUUGAUUUUUAUCACUUUUGCACUUAUGUCGACUGACUCGGUGGUACCGUAGUUAGAGACCUUGAGCGUUGCGCCAAGGGUUCGAUUCCCACAUCGGGAAAACAUUUGUGUGAUGAACAGAUUAGUUUGCUCUUUGUCUGGAUGUUUACUAUCUAUUUGUGUAUAUUUAAACAAAUGUAACAUAAUAAAUAAACAAAAGUAGUAUUUUUUUAAUAAUUUAUUUGAAGAAUCGCGGUAUAUUUUGACAUUCAUAUAUUUACAACUAGCUGACCCGGCAGACUUCGUAGUGCCUCAAUCGAUAAAUAAAAGACCUAAGCUUUUGUAUAAAAUAAACUUAAAACAAACAAAAAGAAUCUGUCCGACGGGGACACAUCAAAGGAAAAACAAAAUUGUUAUUUUUAUUUAAUUCCGAGCAUUUUCAUAUUUAUUUACCUUUUAAACCUUCUCUGGACUUCCACAAAUAAUUCAAGACCAAAAUUAGCCAAAUCGGUCCAGCCGCUCUCGAGCUUUAGCGAGACUAACGAACAGUAAUUCAUUUUUGUAUAUAUAGAUGAAAAAUAUCUCGUCAUUUAAUCUAGUUCGAUAUGCGAUAGCUCGUAAUUCGACUGCGCCUUUACGAAGCGUUUACUAUGCAAUUGCAUUGCUCAUCUGUGGCGGAGCGUUACAACGAUUGCAUUGCUAAAUUCUUUAUUCAAUCGGCCGCUCUCACAGACAGGCAAGAUUUAUACGUGCUUCGAAUGAUGAUCUUGCCGCUCUCAUCUUACAAAGAAGAGGCAAAACUUCUCGUGACGGAGCGAAAGGUAUUGAGAACUACUACUAGGACCAGUUCGGAAAGAAGACGGUUCUUGGCACGUCCGGAAAAAUAAGGAUGUGGAGAGGCUUUUUGGUGAGCCAAAUAUUCUGGGGGAGAUGAAGGCACAGAGGCUCGGAUGGCUUGGACAAGAAGUACGUAUGGAGCAGGAUCGGGCUGUGAAACGGGUGUACACGGGUGUACCGGAGGGACACCGCCCCGUAAGGAGGCCCAAGUACCGCUGGUCUGACGCUGUGGAAGGAAAUUUACGGGACCUUCAAGUGUCAGACUGGCAAGGUGUUGCGCAGCGCCGGGAUGAAUGGCAAAGUUUAUUGUCGGAGGCCAAGAUCCACUUUGGGGUCAUAGCGCUAGAGCUCAGUAGUAGUAGUAUAAGUUUGAAAAUUAUUGUGGUUAUAUUGUCAAAGACUAUUUAUUAUACUUCUAUAAUCACCGAUUUCACCAAGACUACACUAUAGACAAAUAAUAUUAAAGAUUGACAGUAAACAAAGAAUAUCUAUAUUAUUAUGUGUGUGUGUCAUUUACACGGUAGGGUGUGUAAUGUUUAUUUUAUUGAUUUAAUGUAUUUUUAAUGUAUAAUUUAAAAAAAAAAUUACCAUUCCGCACUCCUUCUCUAUAUUAUCUAUAAGUGUGGGAAAUUUCAUGCUCCUCCGUCCGCACAUUUUUCGUAAAAAGGGGUACAAAGUUUUUGCUUCACGUAUUAAUAUAUAGACAUUAGCUUGUUUUAAAUUGUUUGUAAUUACGGAGAUGCUAUCAAACGUGUUGUUUAACAUAAACGUGAUGGCAAAUGAAUAUGAUAGUCCAAUCUAAUCGUAUAUAUUUGCAAUCAGGGUUUUUUUUGUUAUCGAGAGCUACGUAAGAGAGAUUCCACGCAUUUGUGUCAAUUUUUUAUUUUUUUAUUGCUUAGAUGGGUAGACGAGCUCACAGCCCACCUGGUGUUAAGUGGUUACUGGAGCCCAUAGACAUCUACAACGUAAAUGCGCCACCCACCUUGAGAUAUAAGUUUUAAGGUCUCAGUACAGUUACAACGGCUGCCCUGCCCUUCAAACCGAAACGCAUUACUGCUUCACGGCAGAAAUAGGCAGAAAUUUUACGAACCAUAUUUUCGUAUUUAUGUUUUCUCGAUUUGCUCGGUGAUGAAGUAGUUAGCACUCCUGAACGCUGAGCCGAGGAUCAUGGCUUCGAUUCCCGCAUCGGGCAAACGUUCGUGUGAUUACCAGAUUUAUUUGGCCUUUGUCUGAUUGUUUAAUUUCUAUAUGUGUAUUUAUUAAAAGUAUGUGUUUCUAGUCUAAAAGUAUGUCUCUUGUUUCCAUAGUAGAAGGAAUCCUUGUUUGGUGUUAGAUUAGCAUGUGUGACUUGUGCCGUAUUUAUUUGUAUUUAUUUGUACAAUUUAGUGCCGUCGAUGCAGACGAAAUACGUAUAAAAAACAUGUUCACGAUCGAUUUCCAUUGAAUUAGCUUCGUCUAAUAAAAAUGUAACCGGCAAAAAAUAUUUGCGUAUUAACUGUUGGCAGAACAAUAUCGGAAUACGAUUCAAUAGAAAUUCGUUCUCGUGUCUCGUAGUAGUAACGUUCUAUUCAUGACGUUACGUAUGUCUGAUAUUUAAGUUGUGAUUUCGCCAUGAUUAUUAUAUUACACUGUGUAUUUGUAUGUUUAUGUAUGUGAUAUAUACAUAAACAUACAAAUACACAGUAUUUAAUACUGUAUAAACUAUUAUAUGUAUAUAUGUGUGUAUAUAUGUAUGUAUGUAUGUAUAUGUAUAUGUGAUUUUGUAUAUAUGUAUAUAUACUUUUUUGUAUGUAUUCGUUACCUAAUAUAAAUUUUCAUUGCACCUACCACUAUUUACUCUGCACUACCUUUGGUUGACUGGUAGAGAAUGCCUUAGGCAUUAAGUCCGCCAAUGUAAAUUUUACAUGAAGUGUAAUAAAUAAAUAAAUAAAUAAAUAAA